Molecule: ribosomal RNA, 463 nt
Filed under: uncultured bacterium
Lineage: Bacteria
Description: partial 16S ribosomal RNA
Rfam family: Bacterial small subunit ribosomal RNA
Source: RNAcentral
GAUGAACGCUGACAGAAUGCUUAACACAUGCAAGUCGAUGGGGAAGUGGUGCUUGCACCAUGGCAACCAUGGCGGACGGGUUAGUAACGCGUAAGGGACUUACCUGCAGGACUGGGAUAACAGGGGGAAACUCCUGACAAGACCGGAUAAUGUCAUGGAGCUGCAUGGCUUUAUGAUGAAAGGAGACGCCUGCGGAGAGCCUUGCGUCCUAUUAGCUAGUUGGUGAGGUAAUGGCUCACCAAGGCGAAGAUAGGUAGCCGGCCUGAGAGGGUGGACGGCCACAAGGGGACUGAGAUACGGCCCUUACUCCUACGGGAGGCAGCAGUGGGGAAUAUUGGACAAUGGGGGCAACCCUGAUCCAGCAAUUCUGUGUGCACGAAGAAGGUUUUCGGAUUGUAAAGUGCUUUCAGCAGGGAAGAAGUAAGUGACGGUACCUGCAGAAGAAGCGACGGCUAAAUACGUG